GAUGAACGCUGGCGGCGUGCCUAAUACAUGCAAGUCGAGCGAACAGACGAGGAGCUUGCUCCUCUAACGUUAGCGGCGGACGGGUGAGUAACACGUGGAUAACCUACCUAUAAGACUGGGAUAACUUCGGGAAACCGGAGCUAAUACCGGAUAAUAUAUUGAACCGCAUGGUUCAAUAGUGAAAGACGGUUUUGCUGUCACUUAUAGAUGGAUCCGCGCCGCAUUAGCUAGUUGGUAAGGUAACAGCUUACCAAGGCAACGAUGCGUAGCCGACCUGAGAGGGUGAUCGGCCACACUGGAACUGAGACACGGUCCAGACUCCUACGGGAGGCAGCAGUAGGGAAUCUUCCGCAAUGGGCGAAAGCCUGACGGAGCAACGCCGCGUGAGUGAUGAAGGUCUUCGGAUCGUAAAACUCUGUUAUUAGGGAAGAACAAAUGUUUAAGUAACUAUGCACGUCUUGACGGUACCUAAUCAGAAAGCCACGGCUAACUACGUG
RNAcentral lists this ribosomal RNA (497 nucleotides) under uncultured bacterium. RNAcentral's name for it is "partial 16S ribosomal RNA". It matches the Rfam family "Bacterial small subunit ribosomal RNA", at positions 28 to 507 of the family's 1533-position model. The record is from RNAcentral.